CUGGUCAGGAUACUCGGCU
This 19-nucleotide non-coding RNA is filed under the name Arabidopsis thaliana (thale cress). The record is from RNAcentral. Lineage: Eukaryota; Viridiplantae; Streptophyta; Magnoliopsida; Brassicales; Brassicaceae.